This 404-nucleotide ribosomal RNA is filed under the name uncultured Glomeromycotina. RNAcentral's name for it is "SSU rRNA". It matches the Rfam family "Eukaryotic small subunit ribosomal RNA", at positions 569 to 978 of the family's 1831-position model. Lineage: Eukaryota; Fungi; Glomeromycota. The record is from RNAcentral.
AGCAGCCGCGGUAAUUCCAGCUCCAAUAGCGUAUAUUAAAGUUGUUGCAGUUAAAAAGCUCGUAGUUGAAUUUUGGGUUUGGCCGAUUGGUCCGUUCUUGUAACGAGUACUGGUCGGUUGGGCCUCAUUGUCUGGGGAGGCGUAAUGCCCUUUAUUGGGUGUUGCGAGUAGCCAGGACUUUUAUCUUGAAAAAAUUAGAGUGUUUAAAGCAGGCUUAUGCCGGAAUACAUUAGCAUGGAAUAAUAGAAUAGGACGAUGAUUCUAUUUUGUUGGUUUCUAGGACCAUCGUAAUGAUUAAUAGGGAUAGUUGGGGGCAUUAGUAUUCAAUUGUCAGAGGUGAAAUUCUUGGAUUUAUUGAAGACUAACUACUGCGAAAGCAUUUGCCAAGGAUGUUUUCAUUAAUC